GAUGAACGCUGGCGGCGUGCCUAAUACAUGCAAGUCGAGCGAACAGACGAGGAGCUUGCUCCUCUGACGUUAGCGGCGGACGGGUGAGUAACACGUGGAUAACCUACCUAUAAGACUGGGAUAACUUCGGGAAACCGGAGCUAAUACCGGAUAAUAUAUUGAACCGCAUGGUUCAAUAGUGAAAGACGGUUUUGCUGUCACUUAUAGAUGGAUCCGCGCCGCAUUAGCUAGUUGGUAAGGUAACGGCUUACCAAGGCAACGAUGCGUAGCCGACCUGAGAGGGUGAUCGGCCACACUGGAACUGAGACACGGUCCAGACUCCUACGGGAGGCAGCAGUAGGGAAUCUUCCGCAAUGGGCGAAAGCCUGACGGAGCGACGCCGCGUGAGUGAUGAGGGUCUUCGGAUCGUAAAACUCUGUUAUUAGGGAAGAACAAAUGUGUAAGUAACUAUGCACGUCUUGACGGUACCUAAUCAGAAAGCCACGGCUAACUACGUG
RNAcentral lists this ribosomal RNA (497 nucleotides) under uncultured bacterium. RNAcentral describes it as "partial 16S ribosomal RNA". It matches the Rfam family "Bacterial small subunit ribosomal RNA", at positions 28 to 507 of the family's 1533-position model. The record is from RNAcentral.